UCCUUACUGCAGGGGGAGAACACAAAGGAACAGAGAGUUAAAAUUGAUGUAGGAUGAGUUACAAAUGAUUUCCACAGGGACCCAAAAGGGUCAGGGAGACUCCCCCAGGGCGUUGUGAGGCUCAGAGGAACCCUUGGCUCUCUGAACUCCUGAUGGAGUUUGGGUGCAGCUGGGUCCAGCCUGAGUCUCCUGAGCACAGGUUUGUGUCUGAUGGAGCUGGCUGCAUGGAUUCAAUCAGAAUUGAUUCAGGCACUGAGGUCUGUGAUGGACACAGGGUCUCAGCCUUGCCCAGGGAGGAAUCUCUCAGUCUCAGGAUGAGGUCUCUCCUAUGGACAUUGAACUCCCAGCUACCUGUGCCUGCUGCCUGUGAUGGAAGAGCUGGAUGUGAAUGUGAGCUGGAGUGAGGGCUUCGGCAUCGCGGAGAAGAUCCUGCUGCUCUCCUUCAUCUCCGCCGUCAUCCUCAUGGCCAUCCUGGGCAACCUGCUGGUCAUGGUGGCCGUGUGCAGGGACAGGCAGCUCAGGAAAAUCAAGACCAACUAUUUCAUUGUUUCCCUGGCCUUUGCUGACCUGCUGGUGUCGGUGCUGGUGAUGCCCUUUGGAGCCAUGGAGCUGGUUCAGGACAACUGGAUCUAUGGGGAGAUGUUCUGCCUGGUGAGGACCUCCCUGGACGUGCUGCUGACCACAGCGUCCAUCCUGCACCUCUGCUGCAUCUCCCUGGACAGGUACUAUGCCAUCUGCUGCCAGCCCCUGGUGUACAGGAACAAGAUGACCCCGCUGCGCAUCGCGCUGAUGCUGGGGGGCUGCUGGGUGAUCCCCACCUUCAUCUCCUUCCUCCCCAUCAUGCAGGGCUGGAAUAGCAUUGGCAUCAUUGAUCUGAUCCAGCAAAGGCAGUUCAACAAGGCCUCCAACUCCACCUACUGCAUCUUCAUGGUGAACAAGCCCUACGCCAUCACCUGCUCCGUGGUGGCCUUCUACAUCCCCUUCCUGCUGAUGGUGCUGGCCUACCACCGCAUCUACGUGACGGCGCGGGCGCACGCGCGGCAGAUCCGCCUGCUGCAGCGCGCGGGGAACCCGGCCGAGCCCCGCCAGGGCCCCCAGGAGCCACGGCAGGGCCCUCAGGAGCCAGGGCAGGGCCCUCAGGAACCAUGGCAGCACCACCAGGAGCCACGGCACCACCAGGAGCCAUGGCAGGGCCUUCAGGAGCCAUGGCAGGGCCCUCAGGAGCCAUGGCAGGGCCUUCAGGAGCCACGGCAGGGCCCUCAGGAGCCACGGCACCACCAGGAGCCAUGGCAGGGCCUUCAGGAGCCACGGCACCACCAGAAACCACGGCAGGGCCCUCAGGAGCCACGGCACCACCAGGAGCCACGGCAGGGCCCUCAGGAACCACGGCAGGGCCCUCAGGAGCCACGGCAGGGCCCCCCUGACCAGCACAGCAGCCACCGCAUGAAAACGGAGACCAAAGCCGCCAAGACCCUGUGCAUCAUCAUGGGCUGCUUCUGCCUCUGCUGGGCCCCCUUCUUUGUCACCAACAUCGUGGAUCCCUUCAUUAACUACACGGUGCCCGGCAAGCUGUGGACGGCCUUCCUGUGGCUGGGCUACAUCAACUCGGGCUUGAACCCUUUCCUCUACGCCUUCCUCAACAAGGCUUUCAGACGUGCCUUCCUCAUCAUCCUGUGCUGCGGCGACGAGCGCUACCGAAGGCCUUCCAUCCUGGGCCAGACCGUGCCCUGCUCCACCACCACCAUCAACGGCUCCACGCACGUGCUGAGGGUAAACAGCUGGAAGUGUUGAACUCACUGCCAGAGGCUUCAGACAGACACUUUGUGCCACACGACAUCCUGGGACACCUUAAUGACUCCUCUUUAGCUUAAUGAACCUCUAACAAUCAGCACCGCCUGCUCUUGCUGCUCUUGCUCCACUCUGGGAUGGCCGCAGAACACGGAGGAAGGUACACGGUUUUACACAACGGGCACCACCAGGAACAGGAGAAGCUUCCCAUCCACACCGACCCUGAAUCCCAAGAGUCCUGUUUCUAGUCCUGGCCCAGCAGAGGAGGAACAGAGGCCUUUUGGGACAUCCCAAGGAUUCACAGACAGCAGCACUUGAAAAUCCAUCCAUCUGCAUUGUCCCGGUGCCUCCUGCAGUGAAUUCCCAGGAAUGUCCAGCUGGAGGAGCUGGGUGGGAGCAUGGGGAGGGUCAGGACUGAUGUCCCUUCCCUGUCCCUGUCCCUGUCCCUGUCCCUGCAGGAGCAGCUGGAGCUGUGCCAGAGCCCUGCUCCAGGAGCGAGGCAUUCCUGGCAAAGCCAGGACCAAAACAGCUCCAAACCAGCCUGAGCAGGGACUCCUGCAGCUCCUUUCCUGCUGCUCCUUCCCCUUCCAGCUGCCCCUGCUCAGCUCAGCCCACCCUGGAGGUCACAGCUGUGGGGUGGCACCGAGCUGCCCCAUCCCUGCUGGCUCUGCCUGGAGCCUGGGCACUGCCAGGGGAGGAGCAGCCCCACGUUUUCUCCAGGAGAACAAGAGGAAAUGUUUGCUGCCCUUUGGUUCCAGCCCCAGCUGCUGCUUCCCCCACCCUGCAGAGCUCUGCAGUGCCCAGGGAGGAUCCCAGGGUGUGCAGGAGCUGAGUGGGACCAGCAGGGCCAGCCCAGCUCAGAGCCAUGGCCCUGCUCUGCCAUUCCCAGGGGAUGGGACGUGCCCUGGAGCCCAGAGCUGUCCCCAUCCCUCCCUCAGCAAACUUUGGGCGUUCUGAGACAGCAGAAGCUUGGCCAGGAGCCAGAGCCAAUGGAUCACUAAGUGCCAUCUUGGAAAACAAACCACCUAAACCCUUUUCUAGCUGCAUUUGGAAGAGAGACUUCCACUUACCUUUGCCACCUUUAUUUUUCUAUUUGUUGCUGGUCUCUUCCAGUCGAGGCAAGAAGUUUUCCAGACUUUCCAGUCUUGCAUUUGCAAAGAUCUCAGCCCUCAGCUGCUUCCUGCAUGUCGGUGUUGCCACGUUCCUCGUGGGCUGCUUCCCCCUUUGCAUGGAAAGGGUGGGCAAGGCUCUGAACUCCACAAAUUUGGGAAAAGGAUUUUCAUGCAGGAUGAAGACCACGAGCCUCGACCCUUUUUAGGUGAAGAUCUACCCCAAGAUGCCACGCUGAGCCUAGAAAAUACAACUGUACUUUGUCAUGUCGUGGAACCAUGUACAGAUAUUUUUAAUGUACAAAGAGAAGCUGACAUUAUUUAUUAUUUUUUAUCAGGAACAUGUGUUUUUUUCAUUAAAAGCUUCUAGACCAAGGAGCUUAACAUUCUAUGUAUUAUUAUUUAGUAAUAUUUCUGUUGCUAUGUGACAGGUAUUUACUGCAAACAGACAAACCCCGCUCGGAACAAACACAAAUGUUGCUCAGUAGGAGAAAUGUUGUGCAUGAGAAGAACAAGUGGCUUCCUGGCCAUGGUGUCUGACUUCUUUAAAUACUUCUUCCACAGCAAAGUCACUGGUAAAGCUUCACAUCCCUUUCCUGUAGGAUUCAGAAGGACACAGGGCAGAAACAGCCCCAGUUGGAAUGCUGAGGUAGAAAAUUGCUGCCUGCUGGAAAGACACAAAUUGUUGGUGUUUGUGGUGGAAGGUGCUCCUGGUUCAUCUCUGGGACCUGGUUGGCAAUGACCUGUUUUUACAGGGUUUUGUUUCCAAAAAAAUUCAUUUAACUUUACUCUCGACACCAGAACUGCGGAGUGAAAAAAAGCCAUUAUUGAAAAUUUGGAAAAAAACAUCCAAGGCUGCCUCAGUGCUGUGAUCCUCCCCCUGUGGAAGUGCCCACAGGGGUUUGCUGGGCUUUGGGCACACGAGGCUGCAGAACAGCUUGGUUGGUUUCACCUCAAGUGUCAAAUUUCUUAAAGAAAUCCUGAAAAAAAGCUUUUCUCUGUCCCCUUUGAAGGGCAUCAAAUCUUGGUGUGAGAUUUCCUGGAGUGAGAUGGAACCAGCAGCACAGGGAGAGGUUCUUGGGUUCUGCUUUGUCCUUCAGGUGUUGUUUUCUCCUUUAUUUUUAUGUGCAUUAGGAAAAGAUCUCUUUUUAAUUUAAAAUAAACUCCCAUUUUCUCCAGGGACAACAUUCCCAAGGCUCUGUCAGUGGGAGCAGUGGCUCCCCAGCCAAAAUGGUCAAAGGCUCUCACUGGGAAAAGGCUCCCCCCUUCCCACUGGAUGAAAUUCCAAACACCAAAUGUCCAUGUCCUGGAUGGACACCAGGACACCUCUAAUCCCUCCCUGGGCUCAGCAACCCUGUCAGGACCCACCUGGCAGCUCCUGCUCACUCAGCCAAUAACCCCAGCACAGCUCCUGUGACCCAGCAGUGCCCUGGGCCAUCAGCAGUGGAGAAUUCCCCUGGAAAGGAAGGGCUCUCAUGGAAAGCCCCACUCUGGAUUGCCCUGGCUGCUCCUGUGGCCUCCCAGUUCAGCUUUGCCCAUCUUGGCUGGUGGUGCCAGUCCUUGCCUGUGCUCAGUGUCUGUGCUGCAGUGGCUGUUCCUAAAAAUAAAAGCUCCUCUCUGGACAUGGCAGUGAACUCCAGCUUGGGCUGAUUUCUGGUGCUGCUGGCACUCCAGCCCCAGGCUGGGAGCAGCUGCCACCUCCCAGCUGCCCCUCAGGAGGCUCCAGGGGCUGGAGCAGGGAGGGGAAUCUGCCCCUCUGCUUUUCCUACAACCCCUGCCAGGAGGGGACAGCCGGGGGGAUUGGGCUGGGAACAGGGACAGGAGGAGAGGGAACGGCCUCAGGCUGGGCCAGGGCAGGCUCAGGGUGGGCACAGCAGGAAUUUCCCCAUGGAAAGGGGGCUCAGGCACUGGAACUGCCCAGGGAGCUGUGCAGAGCAAGAAGGUUCCCCCUGAGCCUCCUUUUCUCCAGGCUGAGCCCCUUCCCAGCUCCCUCAGCCUCUCCUGGGGCUCCAUCCCCUUCCCAGCUCCAUUCCCUUCCCUGGGUCCCUCCUGCCUGAGGGCUCAGAACUGGCCCAGAACGGGACCCCUGGAGGUCCCUCAGCAGGGCCAGCACAGGGGACAGUCCCUGCCCUGGUCCUGACUGUGCCCCUGCUCACAGGAAUUUGUUCCUUCCCAGCUGUGAGUUAUUUGCAGUCCAGGAGGCCCCACUUUGUCCUGGCCCCUUACCUGGAGGAGUCCCAGGUCCCUGUGGAGCUGCUGAUGGGAUCAGAGCCAUCCAAAGGGAUUCGUGUGAGAAAUGAAAGCCAAGGGUCCCCUGGAUGCGGGGCAGUGGAUCCCCUGCUCCAGAGACACUUUUUUGGCAAGCUCUGCUCCUCCAGGGUGUCUGUUCCACCAAAGGACACUUCAGGGAGGACAGACAUGGGAAUGUGUCACUGAAAACCUGCAGAGCUGACAGGGAAAUGAUGCUCACCUUGCCUCUGACUCAAAAUGGCUUUGACUUUACCUCAUCUGCUCCUUUGACUUUACCUCUGGCUCCAGAGCUCUGUGAACAGUCAGCAAUGCUGCAUUAGCUACAUACAUGCUGCUUUUGCAUUUCCAGAUACUCUCAGUUCAGGGAUUACUGCAGGUAUCUUCAGCCUAAAGCACAUCUCACCCAGGACUGUGGCUCAGGGUGGAGCUCACUCCCAGCUGGCCCUGCUCAGCAAGAGGAGGGAGAAUCUGAAGGUAUUUGAGGCACUUCUUGGUGUCAGCCUGGCUCAAUAACGUGCCCAGAACCAACCAAUGGGGCCCAGAUCGUGUCCAGCUCGUUCCCAGCACAGAUGAAAAGCAGGGAGCAGCUCCAGCCAGGAGCUGCUUUGGGAGCAGGCAGCCCACACAGGCACUGAGUCAUUCCCACCCAGCUCUGGGAGUGCUGAAGCCAAGGAGAGCAUUUCCAUUCUGUACCUGGCAGCUGGGAACCCUUCCCCAGUUUAGGAUCCCCUUUUCCUCCACAUUUGAGCUCCUGAGCCACCUCUGAGCAUUCCAGGCCAAAAGGCAAGAAAUCUGCAGGGGAUUAAUAAUACAGACUCAAUAAAAAUAUACCAAAGCUUUUAGUUCUUGCACUUUUGGUAUAAAUCUUGCUGAAUGAAUCCCCAGUUUAUCUCCUGCCAACACCCAGGGAGUGCUGAGGAGCUGAAGGGAGCUCUCCAGGGGAUGGGCCCUGGCUUUGGCUGUCCUGCUGUCACAGGCAGUGCACACAGGGCCAGGGUGUCCCUGUCCCACCCUGACAAGAGGGUGAGUUGGAAUUGCUUAUCUGGGAACUAGAAGAGGAAAUCCUGGGCAAGGGGGUCCUCACAGCCUGAGCAGCCUGGAGAGCAGGGGCAACAUUCCUGGCUCCAUCAACCCCUUACAGCUUCUCACACAAAAACACUUCCAAAAUCCUUUCCUUUUUGAAACCCAAGCACUGGUUCUGCCCUCCUCCUCAAGGAGAGGGAAAAGCAGCCCCAGCACAGUGAGCAGGAGGCUGUGCCCCCUGUGCUGUGCCCAAACACACCCUGGCCUUUCUCUGUUUACCUUCUGCACUAUUUAGAUGACAUUUCCAGGCACCUGAGCCUCUCCCAGCUGGGAUCUCUGCAUCCUCUUCCAGGAAGAGCUGUGGGAAAAGCAGUGCCAGUCACCUCAGGCUCACUCCCAGCAGCUCCUGGACCUGGGGUGCUCAUUGCUCCUCAGGGACUGUAAGAGGAGCCCCCUCUGACUGCACCUGCACAGAGGGACAGAAACCCCACCAAGAUUUCACCUCCCCGGAGUGGCUGGGUCAGAGCUGACCCAGGGAAGAAAUUCCUGCUCCAUGUUUUCCCCAAAGCCACGCCCAGGGGGAGGCAGGGCACAGAGGUGGUGCAGUCACAUUUCCUCCAUCAUCUCCUCAGUGCUGGCCAGGCUGCCCUGGGAGCUCCCUCUGGGACCCAGGUGCAAACAGCCCUGGAUCCAGGGGCUGUGCUGGCCCCCAGCCUGUCCCCACAGGGGCAGAGAGAGCUGGAACUCCUGUGCUGCAGGAGCAGCAGGAGCACUGUCCCCUCCCCUGCAGGGACAGCAGCUGCUCCUCCUGCCACACUCCAGGCACGGGAGGGAGGAGAAGCCUGGCACAGAAACAGCUGGGAUGCUCCAAGGAGAGCUGAGCUAGGGAAAGCCUCCCCUGCCCUGGUGAUUGAAUAAAAGUGCCCAAAACUGCCAGGAGAUGGAGAGAGGAGGAAGCUCAGAGCCAAAAGAUCAAAUCCCCAGAAGAUCCCAGCUCCUCCCUGUCCCCAGCCCUCAGGAGAUGCACUCAGGGCGUGCAGGCACUGGUGUAAAAUGGGUGUCACACUUCAGAGGGCAAAAUCACUGCAAGGUUCAACUGCUUCCAGAGAUACUGAACAUAAACAAACACUUUAUUUGUGUAAAUACUUCUGCAAAAGGCUGCAGGGAGGAGAUACCAGCUGGAGACGUGGUGAAUACUCCAGAAACUCAGAAACAUUUUCUGGACUAAAAUGGUAAAUCUGACAGAAUCAAUGACUCAGAGGACUUGAAACACUUCUAGAAAGGGUCACAAUUGUUUUGGCUGAAUAUCAUGGAAUACAUUAUCUAUGGUUAAUUAAAUGUAAGAGUUAUAAUAAACCAUUGACUGUGAUCCUGCAUUAAAGCAAAUUUAGUAACAUUCACAUUCUCUGCUGUUCAGUGCUCCACCUCCAGUCAGCACAGAGCAGGGCUGAGGAAAUGCUCCCACUAGGCACCAUUCUCUCCCUCUUAGCCCACGUAUUUCUAGUUCCACAUUAUCCCAAGAAUUCCCACAGAGAGAAAACCAACACUGCCUUGGCUGUGUGGAGCAGCUUCACCUCAGUUUUACAGAGCUAAACAGCACAGAAAUCCCCAUUAGCCACAUUCAGCCCAAAUUCAGAGAAUCACCAUCAGGAUGAUGAGAAAAAUUGGAUAAAAUGGUCUAAACUGUACAGCUUUUACCUCAGAAGUGUCAUUUUCUAGGCUGGUAAAGCCAGUUUUAAACAAGCAUGGAUGAGAGACCAGGCCAGAGGUGGGAAGUGGCCUCUGCCAGCCCUGGGAGUGCCACACCAAAAUGUGCACGUCCCACCUCACUGGCAGCAAAUCCCCACCAAACACCUGUGGGCACUGGGAGCACCUUUCAAUACACCACACACACACAUUUUGGGCAAAUAGCAGCAGUUUUUACUGACCAGUGCAUUCAGGGGGAGCCCAAGGCAGCCCCAGAGCUCCCUGGCUGUGUCAGAGCCCGUGCUGCCACGGCCACCAGGCAGCUCCACAUCCCCUGCUCUGCCUGCCUGAAGGGAGAGCUCAGCUUCCAGCCAGCCUGAACGAGCAGAGUUAUGUUCAGGAGGGUGGAACCAACAAUCAGCAACUUGAUUUCCAUAGUACAGAGUCAAAUACACCAAGAAAAUGAAAUCUAACAGUACAAAAUGCUUGAGAACAUUCUGCUUCCAAGGUGCUAAACAUGGGGGCUUCCUUCCCCCCAAAAAUGGGUUGAAUAUCUCUAGAAACUACCACAGAUCACCAAAUUCUCUACUUCUGUUUUUUUUUCUCCUGCUUCUGGCCUUCUUUGCAACAGCUGGAGAAUAUUCUGACCCUUCCAAAAAUGCACACAAGACACCAAGGUUGUGCUCAACAGGUUUACUCAGACUGGACUCUUAAAUGCUCAAGAAAAAGGCACAGAUUAAAAGAGACUCUGAUGACUCUUUUGAACACAGCAAAUGGAAUUGUUGUUUAUAAGGAAAAAAAAAUACUGCUAUGAAUUGUAUGGGUUGGAAAGUUCAAAUCUUCUUCCCCUUUCCUAAUUAUUGGCCUUCAUUAAAAUGGAACUUAAAUUAAAUUGUAUAAACAUAUGAAAUAAAGUCUCAGUAUUAGGAAGUUUUGUUUUUGUGGGGUUUUUUUUUUUUGUUUCCUCUAUGUACAACUCUUAGUAUACAAUUUGUACUUUCCAUUUUACAUUUAACUACAUCCUCCUGGCCACGGGGAGAGCCGAGGGCGCCUCGGCGGGAAAUGCUUUGCAUUUGGAAAAACAAAAA
This is an RNA transcript of Haemorhous mexicanus (house finch), 8944 nucleotides long. It is a transcript of the gene named 5-hydroxytryptamine receptor 4, with no coding region annotated. The transcript is spliced from 8 exons. NCBI's taxonomy places the organism in Eukaryota, Metazoa, Chordata, Aves, Passeriformes, Fringillidae. The record is from RefSeq and is a predicted model, not a curated record.